Molecule: transfer RNA, 72 nt
Organism: Camelus ferus (Wild Bactrian camel)
Lineage: Eukaryota; Metazoa; Chordata; Mammalia; Artiodactyla; Camelidae
Rfam family: tRNA
About the family: Transfer RNA (tRNA) molecules are approximately 80 nucleotides in length. Their secondary structure includes four short double-helical elements and three loops (D, anti-codon, and T loops). Further hydrogen bonds mediate the characteristic L-shaped molecular structure. tRNAs have two regions of fundamental functional importance: the anti-codon, which is responsible for specific mRNA codon recognition, and the 3' end, to which the tRNAs corresponding amino acid is attached (by aminoacyl-tRNA synthetases). tRNAs cope with the degeneracy of the genetic code in two manners: having more than one tRNA (with a specific anti-codon) for a particular amino acid; and 'wobble' base-pairing, i.e. permitting non-standard base-pairing at the 3rd anti-codon position.
Source: Rfam
GAGGGUAUAGCUCAGUGGUAGAGCACAUGCUUAGCAUGCACAAAAUCCUGAAUUCAAUCCCCAGUACCUCCA